UACACUGGUGGCGACCGGCGCACGGGUGAGUAACACGUGUGCAACCAACCCCGUACCGGGAGAUAACCCGCGGAAACGUGGACUAACAUCCCAUGAGACUCUAGAUCCGCAUGGCUCUAGAUUUAAAAUUCCGGUGGUACGGGACGGGCACGCGCGACAUUAGGUAGUUGGCGGGGUAAGGGCCCACCAAGCCGACGAUGUCUAGGGGUUCUGAGAGGAAGGUCCCCCACACUGGAACUGAGACACGGUCCAA
RNAcentral lists this ribosomal RNA (253 nucleotides) under uncultured bacterium. RNAcentral describes it as "partial 16S ribosomal RNA". It matches the Rfam family "Bacterial small subunit ribosomal RNA", at positions 81 to 334 of the family's 1533-position model. The record is from RNAcentral.